GCGAUCAUACCAGCACUAAUGCACCGGAUUCCAUCAGAACUCCGCAGUUAAACGUGCUUGGGCGAGAGUAGUACUAGGAUGGGUGGCCUCCUGGGAAGUCCUCGUGUUGCACCCC
Molecule: ribosomal RNA, 115 nt
Filed under: Corchorus capsularis
Lineage: Eukaryota; Viridiplantae; Streptophyta; Magnoliopsida; Malvales; Malvaceae
Source: RNAcentral